Molecule: ribosomal RNA, 486 nt
Filed under: uncultured bacterium
Lineage: Bacteria
Description: partial 16S ribosomal RNA
Rfam family: Bacterial small subunit ribosomal RNA
Source: RNAcentral
AUUGAACGCUGGCGGCAUGCCUUACACAUGCAAGUCGAACGGCAGCACGGGUGCUUGCACCUGGUGGCGAGUGGCGAACGGGUGAGUAAUACAUCGGAACAUGUCCUGUAGUGGGGGAUAGCCCGGCGAAAGCCGGAUUAAUACCGCAUACGAUCUACGGGUGAAAGCGGGGGACCUUCGGGCCUCGCGCUAUAGGGUUGGCCGAUGGCUGAUUAGCUAGUUGGUGGGGUAAAGGCCUACCAAGGCGACGAUCAGUAGCUGGUCUGAGAGGACGACCAGCCACACUGGGACUGAGACACGGCCCAGACUCCUACGGGAGGCAGCAGUGGGGAAUUUUGGACAAUGGGCGAAAGCCUGAUUCAGCAAUGCCGCGUGUGUGAAGAAGGCCUUCGGGUUGUAAAGCACUUUUGUCCGGAAAGAAAUCCUUGGCUCUAAUACAGUCGGGGGAUGACGGUACCGGAAGAAUAAGCACCGGCUAACUACGUG